Long non-coding RNA from Gopherus evgoodei (Goodes thornscrub tortoise), 399 nucleotides. RefSeq lists it as uncharacterized. The transcript has 3 exons. Lineage: Eukaryota; Metazoa; Chordata; Testudines; Testudinidae. The record is from RefSeq and is a predicted model, not a curated record.
UAGGUUCCUUUGAAAUUCAGGAUUCAUUCCACUGUGGAAAGUGAGUGUGUGGAACAAAGAAGUACUGUUCACCUCUCCUUAUCUUUCAGUGCCCGCGACAGGAGAUAAAAAGUGUCUGAUUGUGAAGGCAGUGAAAUCCACUCUGGGUGAUCAGAAUGCUACGGUGAGGAUGGCAGUUCUUCAUUUCAUCAGGAGGCUGCUCAGCUCAGAAAGUGUGGAGAAUUGUGCAGCAUGGGAUAUGGUAGCACAUGGUUUCAUGGAGUUCAGUUUGUCCACCAGCAAACUGACUAUUCAGGAAGAAAACACUAUCCAAAGCCUGUGCAUUGACAUCCUGCAAUGUCUGGACACCUCAGUCAGUGGAAUGACCCAAGUAAGUGACCUGUUGCUACUGCUUCUUGA